CGCCAGACUCCUACGGGAGGCAGCAGUGGGGAAUAUUGCACAAUGGGGGAAACCCUGAUGCAGCGACGCCGCGUGAGCGAUGAAGUAUUUCGGUAUGUAAAGCUCUAUCAGCAGGGAAGAAAAUGACGGUACCUGACUAAGAAGCCCCGGCUAACUACGUGCCAGCAGCCGCGGUAAUACGUAGGGGGCAAGCGUUAUCCGGAUUUACUGGGUGUAAAGGGAGCGUAGACGGCAAUGCAAGCCAGAUGUGAAAGCCCGGGGCCCAACCCCGGGACUGCUCUUGGAACUGCGUGGCUGGAGUGCAGGAGGGGCAGGCGGAAUUCCUGGUGUAGCGGUGAAAUGCGUAGAUAUCAGGAGGAACACCGGUGGCGAAGGCGGCCUGCUGGACUGCAACUGACGUUGAGGCCCGAAAGCGUGGGGAGCAAACAGGAUUAGAUACCCUGGUA
This 446-nucleotide ribosomal RNA is filed under the name uncultured bacterium. Its description in RNAcentral is "bacterial SSU rRNA". It matches the Rfam family "Bacterial small subunit ribosomal RNA", at positions 329 to 792 of the family's 1533-position model. The record is from RNAcentral.